GGACUACUGGGGUAUCUAAUCCUGUUUGCUCCCCACGCUUUCGCACAUGAGCGUCAGUAUUGGGCCAGGCAGUCGCUUUCGCCACUGAUGUUCCUUCCGAUAUCUACGCAUUUCACCGCUACACCGGAAAUUCCACUGCCCUCUCCCAUACUCCAGUAAUGCAGUCUCGAAUGCAGUUCCCAGGUUGAGCCCGGGGCUUUCACACCCGACUUACAAAACCGCCUACGCGCGCUUUACGCCCAGUAAUUCCGAUUAACGCUCGCACCCUCUGUAUUACCGCGGCUGCUGGCAC
This 292-nucleotide ribosomal RNA is filed under the name uncultured bacterium. RNAcentral's name for it is "partial 16S ribosomal RNA". The record is from RNAcentral.